GAUGAAUGCUGGCGGCGUGCCUAACACAUGCAAGUCGAGCGGCAGCGAGUUUUACACUGAAUUCUGGAAGCUUCUGCGUAGUACAGAAGAUUUAUUCGAGAGUUUUGUUUAAAAUGUCGGCGAGCUUCGGGCGGCUGAGUAACGCGUCGGAAUUUGCCUCAAAGUGCAGAAUACCUGCCCGAAAGGGUAUCUAAUUCCCCCUAUGGUCUUCGUCUUCACUCCUUCGGAUGCUUUGGGAGAAGCCUGCUUUGGAUUAGGUAGUUGGUAGGGUAAUCGCCUACCAAGGCGACGAUGCAUAGCUGGGAAGAGAGGAAGAACAGACAGACUGGAAGGGAGACACAGUAGAGACUCCUACGGGAGGCAGCAGUGAGGAAUCGUGCAAAACGGGCGAAAGGAUGAUGGUGCAACGACGCGAGAAGGAUGAAGGCAUGCGGGUUGUAAACUGCUAUUAAGAGUGAAGAAUAUGACGGUAACUAAUGAAUAAGCACCGGCUAACUACGUG
Molecule: ribosomal RNA, 502 nt
Filed under: uncultured bacterium
Lineage: Bacteria
Description: partial 16S ribosomal RNA
Rfam family: Bacterial small subunit ribosomal RNA
Source: RNAcentral